CUGGCUCAGGAUGAACGCUAGCUACAGGCUUAACACAUGCAAGUCGAGGGGCAUCAUGACGAUAGCUUGCUAUAGUUGAUGGCGACCGGCGCACGGGUGAGUAACGCGUAUCCAACCUUCCCUUAGUAGGGCAUAGCCCGGCGAAAGUCGGAUUAAUACCCUAUGUUAUUCGUAGAGGACAUCUGAAGUGAAUCAAAGAUUAAUCGCUAAGGGAUGGGGAUGCGUCCGAUUAGGUAGUCGGCGGGGUAACGGCCCACCGAGCCUUCGAUCGGUAGGGGUUCUGAGAGGAAGGUCCCCCACACUGGUACUGAGACACGGACCAGACUCCUACGGGAGGCAGCAGUGAGGAAUAUUGGUCAAUGGACGGGAGUCUGAACCAGCCAAAAGUAGCGUGCAGGAAGACGGCCCUAUGGGUUGUAAACUGCUUUUAUACGGGGAUAAAGUCGCCCACGUGUGGGUGUUUGUAGGUACCGUAUGAAUAAGGACCGGCUAAUUCCGUGCCAGCCGCCGC
This 511-nucleotide ribosomal RNA is filed under the name uncultured bacterium. Its description in RNAcentral is "bacterial SSU rRNA". It matches the Rfam family "Bacterial small subunit ribosomal RNA", at positions 19 to 518 of the family's 1533-position model. The record is from RNAcentral.